GGUAUAGAAAGAGGUGUAGUGAAGGAGUGAUAGUGGUAUAGAAAGAGAUGUAGUAAAGGAGUGAUAGUGGUAUAUAAAGAGGUGUAGUAAAGGAGUGGUAGUGGUAUAUAGACAGGUGUAGUGAAAGUGUGAUAGUGGUAUAGAAAGAGGUGUAGUGAAGGAGUUAUAGUGGUAUAGAAAGGUGGAGUGAAGGAGAGAUAGUGGUAUAGAAAGAGGUGUAGUGAAGGAGUGAUAGUGGUAUAGAAAGAGGUGUAGUAAAGGAGCGAUAGUGAUAUAUAAAGAGGUGUAGUGAAGGAGUGAUAGUGGUAUAGAAAGAGGUGUAGUAAAGGAGCGAUAGUGAUAUAUAAAGAGGUGUAGUGAAGGAGUGAUAGUGGUAUAGAAAGAGGUGUAGUGAAGGAGUGAUAGUGGUAUAGAGAGAGGUGUAGUGAAGGAGUGAUAGUGGUAUAGAAAGAGGUGUGGUGAAGGAGUGAUAGUGGUAUAGAAAGAGGUGUAGUGAAGGAAUUAUUGUGGUAUAGAAAGAGGUGUAGUAAAGGAGUGAUAGUGGUAUAGAAAGAGGUGUAGUGAAGGAAUUAUUGUGGUAUAGAAAGAGGUGUAGUAAAGGAGUGAUAGUGGUAUAGAAAGAGGUGUAGUGAAGGAGUGAUAUGAUACAUAAAGAGGUGUAGUGAAGGAGUGAUAGUGGUAUAGAAAGAGGUUUAGUGAAGGAGUGAUAGUGGUAUAGAAAGAGGUGUGGUGAAGGAGUGAUAGUGGUAUAGAAAGAGGUGUAGUGAAGGAGUGAUGAUAUAUAAAGAGGUGUAGUGAAGGAGUGAUAGUGGUAUAGAAAGAGGUUUAGUGAAGGAGUGAUAGUGGUAUAUAAAGAGGUGUAGUGAAGGAGUGAUA
This is a long non-coding RNA of Oncorhynchus keta (chum salmon), 876 nucleotides long. RefSeq lists it as uncharacterized. Lineage: Eukaryota; Metazoa; Chordata; Actinopteri; Salmoniformes; Salmonidae. The transcript has 5 exons. The record is from RefSeq and is a predicted model, not a curated record.